UACGUAGGGGGCGAGCGUUGUCCGAAUUCACUGGGCGUAAAGCGCGAGUAGGCGGACUUUUAAGUUGGGUGUGAAAUGCCGAGGCUCAACCUCGGAACUGCCUCCAAAACUGGGAGUCUUGAGGUAUGGAGAGGGAAGUGGAAUUCCAGGUGUAGCGGUGAUAUGCGUAGAUAUCUGGAGGAACACCCGUGGCGAAGGCGGCUUCCUGGUCAUAUCCUGACGCUGAGGUGCGAAAGCCAGGGGAGCGAACGGG
RNAcentral lists this ribosomal RNA (253 nucleotides) under uncultured bacterium. RNAcentral's name for it is "partial 16S ribosomal RNA". It matches the Rfam family "Bacterial small subunit ribosomal RNA", at positions 524 to 776 of the family's 1533-position model. The record is from RNAcentral.